CAAGAUUCGCCCCAACAGAUGAGCCGUGCUGGUUGUAAUGGGACCCCGGGGGCGGUGAGCGCUCGGUGGUCCUUAAGGGCUCUUUGUUCGGGACUGAGCGAGGGCUGUGGAGAGCUUCUGCUCAUUCCAAACCAGCGAGCAUUUGGGAGUCGGUAGUGACCUGGAUGAAGAGAGAGGGAGCUGAUGAUGUGAAGCUGGGAGGAGCAGCUGACAGCAGGACCCAGUGAACUUCAAGGAGAGCAGGUCAAGAAGAUGAGAAACUUGCACUACUGCAACUACUGCACUCUGUACAACAAAGAAGAUGAGGAGCUUGGAGCAUCUCCCUUCUGAGGAAAGGAUGUUCAACAACCUAUGGCUGCUUUACCAAGAGAAGGGAAGGGUGAAAGCUGCAGACAAGUUUUCCUUUUUGCAGAGAUUGCCUGAACAUGAGAUUUCAUCAGUGCUCUUCUAGGUUCAGUGCUGGAGCAAGGAUCCUGGUAGCAACUGCUGCCUCUGCAGAGGGAGGCUUGAAGGUGUUGUUUUGAGCAGUGCCUGCAGUGGAGAUUCAGCAGCCAUUGUUCAGGAAUUUGGAGUGUUCUGAAGAGGAAGGCCAGAAUUUUUGAUGGGGAGCUGCACACUAUCAAGAUGAAGAAGUGCAAGUGGCUGAUGAGGUACAU
Lagopus leucura (white-tailed ptarmigan) is the source of this 656-nucleotide long non-coding RNA. RefSeq lists it as uncharacterized. The record is from RefSeq and is a predicted model, not a curated record. The transcript has 7 exons. Lineage: Eukaryota; Metazoa; Chordata; Aves; Galliformes; Phasianidae.